This 433-nucleotide ribosomal RNA is filed under the name uncultured bacterium. RNAcentral describes it as "partial 16S ribosomal RNA". It matches the Rfam family "Bacterial small subunit ribosomal RNA", at positions 29 to 507 of the family's 1533-position model. The record is from RNAcentral.
AACGAACGCUGGCGGCAUGCCUAACACAUGCAAGUCGAACGAGACCUUCGGGUCUAGUGGCGCACGGGUGCGUAACGCGUGGGAACCUGCCCUUAGGUUCGGAAUAACUCCCCGAAAGGGGUGCUAAUACCGGAUAAUGUCUUCGGACCAAAGAUUUAUCGCCUUUGGAGGGGCCCUCGUUGGAUUAGCUAGUUGGUAGGGUAAAAGCCUACCAAGGCGACGAUCCAUAGCUGGUCUGAGAGGAUGAUCAGCCACACUGGGACUGAGACACGGCCCAGACUCCUACGGGAAGCAGCAGUGGGGAAUAGUGGAAAAUGGGCGAAAGCCUGAUCCAGCAAUGCCGCGUGAGUGAUGAAGGCCUUAGGGUUGUAAAGCUCUUUUACCCGGGAUGAUAAUGACAGUACCGGGAGAAUAAGCUCCGGCUAACUCCGUG